This 301-nucleotide ribosomal RNA is filed under the name uncultured bacterium. RNAcentral's name for it is "partial 16S ribosomal RNA". It matches the Rfam family "Bacterial small subunit ribosomal RNA", at positions 509 to 807 of the family's 1533-position model. The record is from RNAcentral.
CAGUAGCCGCGGUAAGACAGAGGAUGCAAGCGUUAUCCGGAAUGAUUGGGCGUAAAGAGCUCGUAGGCGGUUUGUCGCGUCUGCCGUGAAAGUCCGGGGCUCAACCCCGGAUCUGCGGUGGGUACGGGCAGACUAGAGUGAUGUAGGGGAGACUGGAAUUCCUGGUGUAGCGGUGAAAUGCGCAGAUAUCAGGAGGAACACCGAUGGCGAAGGCAGGUCUCUGGGCAUUAACUGACGCUGAGGAGCGAAAGCAUGGGGAGCGAACAGGAUUAGAUACCCCUGUAGUCCCUGUCUCUUAUAC